Molecule: ribosomal RNA, 456 nt
Filed under: uncultured Aquabacterium sp.
Lineage: Bacteria; Pseudomonadati; Pseudomonadota; Betaproteobacteria; Burkholderiales; Sphaerotilaceae
Description: bacterial SSU rRNA
Rfam family: Bacterial small subunit ribosomal RNA
Source: RNAcentral
CACAAGCGGUGGAUGAUGUGGUUUAAUUCGAUGCAACGCGAAAAACCUUACCUACCCUUGACAUGUCAAGAAUUUUGCAGAGAUGUGAAAGUGCUCGAAAGAGAACUUGAACACAGGUGCUGCAUGGCCGUCGUCAGCUCGUGUCGUGAGAUGUUGGGUUAAGUCCCGCAACGAGCGCAACCCUUGUCAUUAGUUGCUACCGCAAGGAGCACUCUAAUGAGACUGCCGGUGACAAACCGGAGGAAGGUGGGGAUGACGUCAGGUCCUCAUGGCCCUUAUGGGUAGGGCUACACACGUCAUACAAUAGCCGGUACAGAGGGCUGCCAACCCGCGAGGGGGAGCCAAUCCCAGAAAACCGGUCGUAGUCCGGAUCGUAGUCUGCAACUCGACUGCGUGAAGUCGGAAUCGCUAGUAAUCGCGGAUCAGCUUGCCGCGGUGAAUACGUUCCCGGGCCUU